CCCUCACCUUAUCUACUGGCAAGUCACCCUCGAGCUUUUAUACCUUUUAUCUCACCACAAAUCCAUUGCCCGUGGCUGCUUAACGAUUUUUCCACGGUUUUAGAUACCUUAAUUCACUUAUUCCGAGGCUUCGUGCAGUUAAGCUAUGUGUAAUCCGUUAUUACCCUCGAGCGUCAGUGAAUAACUUCAAAGUCAAAUUUAUUGUUAGCAACACGAUAACCUUGGCUUUAGUUAUUAGUUUUUCUUGUUUUGGUUGAUUCUAUAGUACUUUAUUUUAUUUAUUUAUUUAUUAUUGACAUACACAAUUAUGGCUGUUAUUUAUCAUUAUUCCCAAAUACUUUCUGAAAAUAUUCUUUUUGCAUUAAUCAGAUUUUGGUUACAAAAGAAAAAGAAGUUCCAGGGGAAAGGCAGAAAUAUCCAAGAGCGGGCGAAUUUCAUACUGUGCUUAAUUCGCGCUGAAGAAGAAAAUUACUUGAUUUAAUAAUAAAAAUAUUUUCUUCAAAGUUUAAUUUUUGUUAGAAAAUGUUUAGCUCGUUUACUUCAAGAAAUUUAAAUUUAAAUCAAUAAAUUAAAAAUUUUAGCUAAAGAAUAAAAAA
Molecule: long non-coding RNA, 596 nt
Organism: Cotesia glomerata
Lineage: Eukaryota; Metazoa; Arthropoda; Insecta; Hymenoptera; Braconidae
Exons: 2
Source: RefSeq, a predicted model, not a curated record